This is a long non-coding RNA of Equus caballus (horse), 4200 nucleotides long. The record is from Ensembl. NCBI's taxonomy places the organism in Eukaryota, Metazoa, Chordata, Mammalia, Perissodactyla, Equidae.
CGCCUAUCCAAAGUUCACAUGUUUUUGCCAGAGCCUCCUUUUCUGCCGGAGGAGGCGGUGCUGCGCCCUGGCGCGGACGCGCGGACACGUAUCCGCGAUCCGCAGCGAGCGGAGCGGGUCCCGAGCUGCUCUCGGCGGCCCCUUGGGACGCGGCCAGCCAGCGCUGCCCCCGCCGCUGCGCAGCCACCUUAAGACGGGAGGAGGGGGGCCGAGGGGCCGGCGGCCUGGCAGGAAUCAAAAAUUCAAAGGCUUCAGAAAUAUUAGCUGAUUCAGCAGAAAAUGAUCCCUUCGAAAAUGCAAAGGCUCAACCUUUACUUGGCCUUUUUUUUUUUUUUUAAAUCAAUUCCUGUCUCCCCUCCUCCUAAUCGGAACCCCCUUUUAUGGCUGGUUGAAUGUAGAGGGUCACCUGUCUCUUUUGGUGGUACCUUGUUCAUAGAGGGUCAUUGUCCAGAAAGUUCGACUUCGCAGCAACAACAGGUAAUUUCUGGAACACCAGUUCUGAGGGCAGUUGAGAGGCAGGUCCCCCUUGUAAGGACCGGCCUGGGGCUGCGUUGCCCGGACCACAGAUGGGAGGGGCUGGUUUCCAAAAGCAACACAGGCGGGGAAAAGUUCCUACUGCUUUUCUUCAGCAGGGAAAUGUCAAAUGGUGAAGUUUAGAAUUACACCAUAUAAAUUUACUAGAAUUAGGUAAAAACAAACUGACAUUUGAAAAUUGAGGCUGAAAAUAGUUGAUUUUGGCUUUUAAUUGGCUUUUAAAUUUUCUUUUUUAUUUUGAGACAAGAUGAAAGCUUUGAUGAUGUGGAAUGUGGAAUUUUUCGGUAAGUAUAUUAAGUUUGCAGGGGAAAAUAAGCAGACAAAACUUCAGAGCUUUCAAAAAUUGUGGUAUUUGAAGGACCUAACUGAGUUGCGAGAUUAAAACUAUUUGCCCAAAAAUCAUUAAAAAUUUACUUUUGAGAGAAUAUAAGGAUGGCAUUUAAAAUUUACCAUUAAAUUAAAUGGCUACUUGACAAUUUUUGCGAGCAGAAGAGACCAGGAAGCCAGUUAGUGUGUGAAAGACAGUGACUGGCCAGCUAAAAGCAAACCAGAAUCAUUUAUCAACAUGGCCGCUAAAUAAUGAUUUUUUUCUUUUGUGUGUAAAGCAGCUGCUUUUUAAGGGAGGGGAAAUAGCUUUAGUAGUGACAUAAAUGAAGUAGGAAACUUUCUGGAGGAAUUUCUGAACAGAUGUCUUGUUACUGAGUAGCCCACAGCUUAAUAACAUAAACAGUUGAAGGCAUGAAUUAACUCAGAGGAGGGGAUGUUUUACCAAACAUUGGAUACUAAGUUAGAUAGGAGGCUAUUGAUAUAGUGUAUAUAUUGUUUCCAAUUUAAGAAACUUUGGAGCAAUUAUGUUUCAGUGGAUUUUGUUUAAAAAUCCAGCAUAAAACUCUUGAAACAAGAGUGAGUCUAACAUAUACCAAUAAAAUGAUACAUUCCAGAGAUUAAAAAGAGAACGCUUUAGUAACUAAAGCAGUUUCUUAGGCAUUGUAUAAAACAACAAUUGUUUCUCCUAAAAGCUUAUUUUCUUUCAGUGCUAUAUUUCAAGAGAAUAGAAAUGUAUAUAUAUAUAUAAAAUCAAGUACUAUAUUUUUGGAAAAUAUAAAACUGUAUUGGGUAAUAUUGGGGUUUCUUGGUGUUUUUAAGUCUGUCUUUCAAAGGAUUAUGUCUUGAGUCAUCCCCUCCAUAGAUGGAAGGGAAGGUAGAGGUUAACUGGUCUUGCUUCUGUCUCUACCAGAAUUAAAAUAGGUGAGAUUAUUUUGAAACUCUUUCAUAUUACUGUUAAACUCUGUUAAAGGUCUUCCUCUUCUAUUUUGUCUGCCACAAGGAAAACGAUCCUGUCAGAAGGAGCUACUCACUGCUGUGUCUGCUGUAACAAGGCUAAGUGGGAUGGAAGGAGAUAACCGAGACAAAUGUGUGCCACUGGCCAGGAAUCAGAGAGCAAAGGCCACGUCUUAGCUCUCUCUUUUUCCCACACGGAUUCUGGACCAGGGAAGAACUUAAUGUGAUUCUCCAGCACGGGGCUGGAGUCAUUCGAGUGCCUGCGGACAUGGGAUUGCACUGUGCACAGAGCCUUCCUUCUCGACUCACUUCCCGCUGCCACAUGUGCCACUUGGUUGGAGUGUUUCAAGCAUUGCCGCUAAUUAUCUUCGGAGAGGGAGGAGGGAGAUUUCUAUGCAUCCUCCUGGUUGUGGCCCCAUGAAGAGCCGGUCCUCAUGGUCCUCAUAGCUGGGAAGAGCUCCAUCUAACUCAUUACCUUCAGUAAACAGAGCCUGUCCCUUCAGUGGCCAACUGCUGCGUUCACAGCUUCCAGUGAGGAAUCGAGCAAUUUGCCAAAUUAAUUUUCUCCCCUUCAAGGUAGCUCUUGGUGGGUAAUGCCUAUGUAUACACACUCGUAACCGGAUGGCUUCUUUAAAGUAUGCUUUCCAAGGGGGAAAAGUUGAAGAUGAAAAAGGGCCAUGUUUCCUGCCCCUCACGACUGAUUUUUAUAGUUUUUUGAAAACUGAAUUCUUGUGGUUACAUCCUGGAAGUGUUUUUUAAGAUCUUUGGCUGAUUUUGAAUUAAUUGAAAGCAAGAUAUAUUGAUUUGUUUAUACCUGAGGGUUUUCCUCUGGUUGCCUAAUUGUAAUGAAGAAGGCAAUAGGUUCUGAAAAUGUUCUUUCAUAGGCGUUUCUGGAGGCGACAGCCCUACCUGCCACUAUGUUCUCGCUCACGCAUUUUGAGUUCCCUUCUGUCUACACAGAGUACCCAAAGUUGUAACACCUAGGCAUUCCUAUCUAGUUCCCCCUGUCUCCCCUCCAGCAGAAGCCAUGGUGAAUUUUUCCAGAAGUCAGAAUCGACUAGACUCGGUGAGAUUCUGUGUCUCCGCGGCUUCCUGGAAAGGUUAAUGCACUCUCCUUCUUGAAACCUCUUUAGGGCAGACACAGGAAUUUUUACUCAGACUUCCUUCCACACAGAACAUCAAUAAAUAUGGAAAUUAAGGCUUCAAAUCUCACUUCUGAUGAAACAAUAUGCUGUCUAAAUUCAGUUAAUUGUAAGGUACUUGGUGUUGAAAGACAAAGAUAUGCUAAUCUUAUUAAAAUAUGCCUGGUUAAAUUUAGCUAUAAAUUCCAUUCAGGGACUCUUGCUUUAUACAUUGUUCCAAGUCAGAACGUCUGGAAAGAAAACCACCCACUGUGCAGGGUACAGAGUUAGUAAUUUGGAAAGGUGAAGAGUUUAAUUAUGAGCCUAUCUUCUGGGGGAAAAAGUGAAACAAGGCUGAAUGCUUAAUUUUUUUGUUUGUUUAGAUUAAACCAACUGAACGGCUCUUCCACAUUGUGUACAUUUAUAUGACUUCACAGCAAGAAAAGCUUUUAACAUUUUUUCUGUUUCAUUUGACUUGAAGUUGUUUUUAAUAUACACAAAUGAGGGAAAGAGCCUUGACUGAAGUAGAGUUCAACACUGUUUACACAGAUUCAAUCAAUUUUUAGUUUUCCAGAUAAUUAAAGAGGUCGGCAUUUUGAAUUGUGGCUAAAGGCCUUACCCGGGGUUUAGAGACCAAGGAGGUGGACCCUGGCUCUUUGCUUGCCUGGUUAUGAAACGCUGUGGGCGUUAUGGAGCCUCUCAGUACCUCAGUUUCUUUAUAUGUAAUCUGGGAUAAAAUGAUGAUAUAUUUAAAAAGAGCUUUUUUUUUCCUCCUUAUAGAAUAAAAUAUAUGUUCUUUAUAGAGUAUUUAUAAAAAUUCAUAUAUAACAUUUGGAUAGACAUAAAUGUAUAUAUUUGCACAGACACACUUACACACAGACACACACACACACACACACACACACACAGAGUACCAUCCAUAAUCCAACCACUUAGAUGUAACUCUGUUCAGUUUUGGUCAGAUUCCUAGCCAUUCAGCCAUCCGUCUAAGCACACCUGCAUGCAUGCAUCUAACCAGCCAUUAGCAAAUAUUAGAUCACACAAUAGCUAUUUUUUUAUGACUUUCUCUAUUCAAUUACCAUAUUAUGACUAUAUUUUCACAUUAUUAGAUAUUCUUUCAUAUUAUGAUAAUAAUUUUACUUUUGAAAAACCACCCAUAAUUUGUUGCCCAAGACUAUGUUAUUGGGUCUUUGGUUUGCUCCAUUUUUGAUAAUCCUUGUAAACAAUGCUGCAGGGGACAUCUUCAUGCAUUGUUUGCUUAGGC